GGAAUUUUGCGCAAUGGGCGAAAGCCUGACGCAGCAACGCCGCGUGAGUGAUGAAGGCCCUCGGGUCGUAAAGCUCUGUCAGAGGGGAAGAACCCCCGAUCGGCUAAUAUCCGGUCGGGCUUACGGUACCCUCAAAGGAAGCACCGGCUAACCCCGUUCCCGCAGCCGCGGUAAUACGGAGGGUGCGAGCGUUGUUCGGAAUUAUUGGGCGGAAAGCGCGUGCAGGCGGCCAUUUAAGUCUGAUGUGAAAGCCCUGGGCUCAACCCGGGAAGUGCAUUGGAAACUGGAUGGCUUGAGUACGGGAGAGGGAAGUGGAAUUCCGAGUGUAGGGGUGAAAUCCGUAGAUAUUCGGAGGAACACCGGUGGCGAAGGCGGCUUCCUGGACCGAUACUGACGCUGAGACGCGAAAGCGUGGGGAGCAAAC
RNAcentral lists this ribosomal RNA (424 nucleotides) under uncultured bacterium. Its description in RNAcentral is "bacterial SSU rRNA". It matches the Rfam family "Bacterial small subunit ribosomal RNA", at positions 358 to 773 of the family's 1533-position model. The record is from RNAcentral.